GUUUGAUCAUGGCUCAGGACGAACGCUGGCGGCGCGCCUUACGCAUGCAAGUCGAACGGUCCUUCGGGACAGUGGCGGACGGCUGAGUAACGCGUAGAUAACCUAUCCAGUGGUGGGGGAUAACCCUUCGAAAGAAGGGCUAAUACCGCAUGAGUUCCCCGGGUGGAAGUCCCGGGGAGGAAAGCCGCAAGGCGCCACAUGAGGGGUCUGCGUCCUAUCACGGUAGUUGGUGGGGUAAUGGCCUACCAAGCCUUUGACGGGUAGCUGGUCUGAGAGGACGACCAGCCAGAAGGGGACUGAGACACGGCCCCUACUCCUACGGGAGGCAGCAGCGAGGAAUCUUGGGCAAUGGGCGAAAGCCUGACCCAGCGACGCCGCGUGAGGGACGAAGGCCUUCGGGUCGUAAACCUCUUUUGUGAGGGAAGAAGUUCUGACGGUACCUCACGAAUAAGCCACGGCUAACUACGUGCCAGCAGCCGCGGUAAUACGUAGGUGGCGAGCGUUGUCCGGAUUUACUGGGCGUAAAGGGCUUGUAGGCGGUUCGUUAAGUCCGGUGUGAAAUCUCCCGGCCCAACUGGGAGGGGCCAUCGGAUACUGGCGAACUGGAGGCGGGCAGAGGAAAGCAGAAUUCCCGGUGUAGCGGUGAAAUGCGUAGAUAUCGGGAGGAAUACCAGUGGCGAAGGCGGCUUUCUGGGCCUGUCCUGACGCUGAGGAGCGAAAGCGUGGGGAGCAAACCGGAUUAGAUACCCGGGUAGUCCACGCCCUAAACGGUGGAUGCUAGGUGUGGGGGGUAUCGACCCCCUCCGUGCCGCAGCUAACGCUUUAAGCAUCCCGCCUGGGGAGUACGGGCCGCAAGGCUAAAACUCAAAGGAAUUGACGG
Molecule: ribosomal RNA, 880 nt
Filed under: uncultured bacterium
Lineage: Bacteria
Description: bacterial SSU rRNA
Rfam family: Bacterial small subunit ribosomal RNA
Source: RNAcentral